This 661-nucleotide ribosomal RNA is filed under the name uncultured Iamia sp. RNAcentral's name for it is "bacterial SSU rRNA". It matches the Rfam family "Bacterial small subunit ribosomal RNA", at positions 224 to 903 of the family's 1533-position model. Lineage: Bacteria; Bacillati; Actinomycetota; Acidimicrobiia; Acidimicrobiales; Iamiaceae. The record is from RNAcentral.
CCAGAUCUCGCGGCCUAUCAGCUUGUUGGUGAGGUAAUGGCUUACCAAGGCUUGGACGGGUAGCUGGUCUGAGAGGACGAUCAGCCACACUGGGACUGAGACACGGCCCAGACUCCUACGGGAGGCAGCAGUAAGGAAUAUUGCGCAAUGGGCGAAAGCCUGACGCAGCAACGCCGCGUGCGGGAUGAAGGCCCUCGGGUUGUAAACCGCUUUCAGUAGGGAAGAAAAUGACGGUACCUACAGAAGAAGCCCCGGCCAACUACGUGCCAGCAGCCGCGGUAACACGUAGGGGGCGAGCGUUGUCCGGAUUUAUUGGGCGUAAAGAGCUCGUAGGCGGUUUCGUAAGUCGGAUGUGAAAACUCCAGGCUCAACUUGGAGACGCCAUUCGAUACUGCGAUGACUUGAGUCCGGUAGGGGAGUGUGGAAUUCCUGGUGUAGCGGUGAAAUGCGCAGAUAUCAGGAGGAACACCGGCGGCGAAGGCGGCACUCUGGGCCAGUACUGACGCUGAGGAGCGAAAGCGUGGGUAGCAAACAGGACUAGAUACCCUGGUAGUCCACGCCGUAAACGGUGGGCACUAGGUGUGGGAUUCACUCAACGGAUUCCGUGCCGCAGCUAACGCAUUAAGUGCCCCGCCUGGGGAGUACGGAAGCUUGGAAUUCG